Molecule: ribosomal RNA, 193 nt
Filed under: uncultured prokaryote
Description: partial 16S ribosomal RNA
Rfam family: Bacterial small subunit ribosomal RNA
Source: RNAcentral
UACGAGGGGGGCGAGCGUUGUUCGGAAUUAUUGGGCGUAAAGGGCGCGUAGGCGGUCACUACAAGUCAGUUGUGAAAUCUCUGGGCUUAACUCAGAACGGUCAACUGAUACUGUGCGACUAGAGUGCGGAAGGGCCAACUGGAAUUCUCGGUGUAGCGGUGAAAUGCGUAGAUAUCGAGAGGAACACCUGCGG